Molecule: non-coding RNA, 7126 nt
Organism: Podarcis lilfordi (Lilford's wall lizard)
Lineage: Eukaryota; Metazoa; Chordata; Lepidosauria; Squamata; Lacertidae
Source: the annotation of a GenBank genome assembly
CCACCCCGGCCGGGAGGGUCGCGGAGGCGCGCGCGUGUGCCCGCGUGGGGGGAGAGGGGGGGGUCUCCCGCGCCAAAACGGCCAUGAGGAAAAGCUGGACAGUCGCUGCCCUGGUCGGGGGAGUGGGGGGUGGGGUACGAAGAUGCCCCCUGAGAGUCACCGCAGCCAUUCGGGUGCCGCGGUUCGUUGCCUUUUUAAGCGCAAGGUAGCGCAGACCCCAAAGUCCCCUGAGCGAGGCUCCGGCUCUGGGUCGAGUUUGCCCCGCCGGAGCUCAGCAUGCAUGCGGACGAAAGGUGUGUUCGUGUGAAACCGUGAACACGGGGGAAAGCGCCUUUGAACACGUGCAGAGUGUUCGUCCCUCGGCGCGGAGUAAGCGCAGCCCGGGAGGUACCUGGCUUCCACGUCGAAGGGUGGUGCGCGCGCUUUCCAAGUAGGCUCAAAAGCGGCGGAAACGAUCUUGGACUAUUUUGGUAUUUUAAUAUCGCGCCUUAGGGCUUACCGAAAAAGUUAAAGUAAGCAAUGGGCGUCCUUGCAAGCGCGCACGGAGAAUAAAGUCGGGCUAGUAUACUAGCAGCUCUUACUUAGCCCCGAGAGCAUCACUUUUUAUUAUUAUUCAUUGAUUAGUAAAGCAGUUUCACAGAGCCCAGAUUUUGAACUUUUUUUGCUUGCUUUUGUAAUAGGCAGCAAUUCAGUAGAUGCGCUUGCUGAACUUGUACAUGUCAUUCACUGUCAAAGGCACUGUGGCCCUGACAGAAUUGGAGAUACCCUGUUCUUCUGUGCAAAGUUCAUUUUUUUAAAAUGGGAAGGAGGGAUUGUAGGAUAGAGCUGUUGCUUUGCCCCAGGUUCGGUCUCUGGAAUUAGUUUUAAAAAUAAUCUGAUAAUGGGGGAAACGUAUGCUUGAGACCAUGCAGACUCACUACCUUUCAUACAAGACAAUACAGAUGGGCAGAUAGUUUGAACUGGCCUCUUAUGUCUGUAUUUACCAAAUGCAGCUGUCUCUCUUGUAACACAAUAAUAGGCUAAUCUUCCCAUGCAUAUAUGGCCACUCACAUACAGAAAUGAGACCCCAUGCUGCACCUAAAAAAUUGCUGAUACAAAGCAUGCAGCUUCCCAAAUGUGCGCUUGUAUGCACUACACUUGUUUUCCACCUGAACAAUAAAACGAGUGGGCAGUCUGCUUUUUGUUGAGUGUCACAUUCCCUCAGAGGAAUCGGUCAGGGACUAUAUGCCAGUGCUGAGCAGAGCUAGAGCUGCAUGGUGGGGGGAUAAAGAUCUGGCCCACCUAGCCAAAAAAGGUUCACCCAUGAUGUGUUUUUUGAAACUGAUACUGCACAUUUCACAUAGGUCCAUACCAAAAACUGAAUUUGUAACAUACUGUAUGCUUAAAUCUUAUGGAUUCAUUUCACUUUAGAUCUUCACUCAUAGGGAGUCAUACUUUGACCUUUAUUAUAUCAGUUGUUCCACCAUAGCUACUCUUCACACGUAAGUUUAAUAACUAUAGUGGGAUCUGAAGAGCUACUUCAGGGAAUGCUAUGGUUUUAUUUUUCUUUCAGUAGCAAAUAUUAGAAACCACUUUUGAAAGUCCUUUAAUUGUGCUAUGUUGCAAGUGGGGUUUCAGUCCUUAGCUCCUUUGGAUCUUGCCCUAUACAUUUUAAGACUCCUAGGCAAAAUAUAUUUUAAUAUGUUGUUACAGAUUUCUAGCAUUAAGCUUAUAGUAUACUAUGGCAGCAUACUAUAAAAAAUUACUUAGUUGCUUGGAAUAACACAGAAUUCACUUCUUUAGUAAGAAAAGGGGUAAUGGUAAGAGGAGGGGAACAAGAACAAAUUUUCCAGAUACUUACUGAGAGCCGAUACAGAUAAAUUUCUAAGUGAGAACUGUAAGCAAACUGAAUUACUCCACCACCUGCAACUCCUGAAGAUAAGGCUGAAGGUUAACAUUUCUACAGCUAAUUAUAAUCUCAUUACACUUCCCCUUUGUCCAUAUAGAUUAAUAGUCACUAAAAUAGAACCAUACAGACAUUAAUCAUAGUGAAUAUGAUACAGUGAGAAAUGGAACUGUGACACUACAUAUUACCAGCUUAACAUGCAGCUAGAUUGUUAUUUUUCUCAAUUUGGAUCAAAGCUGGUUUGGGUGGAAAUACAUAAAAAUGUGAUAUUUCAUAAGAAAUUAUAGGAAUGAUAUAGGACAGAUGCGGAUACCAGGAAAGGUCCUAGAACAGAUAAUUAAACAGUGAGUCUGUGGACAGUUAGAAAAGAAUGCAGUGAUUACUAAGACUCAGUAUGAAUUUUUCAAAAACAAGUCAUGCCAGACGAAUCUCUCUCUCUCUCUCUCUCUCUCUUGAUAGAGCUACAAGCCUGGUGGAUCAGCGGAAUACUGCAGACCUGGUGUAUCUUGAUUUCAGUAAGGCUUUUGACAAAGUCCCACAUGCGAGGAAACCGGUAAGAUGUGGGCUGGAUGAGGUAACUGAAAGUUGGAUUUGUAGCUGGUUGACUGACCAAACCCAAAGAGUGCUUGUUAAUUAUUCCUCCUCGUACUGGAAAAAAGUGAUAAGUGAGGUGUCCUGGGCCCAUUGUUCUACAUCUUUACAAAUGACUUGGAUUUAGGUAUUGAAGGGAUUCUCAUCAAAUUUGCAGAUGACACCAAACUGGGAGGGGUAGCCAAUGGGACAGAAGACAGAAUCAAGAUUCAAAAUGACCUUAUCAGAUUGGAGAACUGGGCCCAAAGUGAAACUAACAGAAUGAAAUUUGUUAAAUGUAAUGUAAGGAUAAAUGUGAGGUUCUACACUUAGGCAAGAAGAACCAGCUGCGCCAAUAUAAUACGGGGGACACCUGCCUUGCCAGUAGUACAUGUGAAAAGAAUCUAGGGAUCUACUGACUACAAACUUAACGUGAGUCAACAGUGUGAUGCAGCAGCAAAUAAGUUAAUACUGUUUCAGCCUGCAGCAACAAGUAUACUGUCCCUAUCAAUGGAAGUAAUAGUACCACUCUAGUCUGCCUUGGUUAGACCACACCUGGGGAUUGGAUAGGAAGUACUGGAGCUUCCCUGAUGGAACAAAACUUAGCUUGAACUACCAAGUUUUCUCCAGUUCCAUUGUAGGGACACAAGACUCAUGGCUAAAGAAAAGCCAAUCUACACAUGGUCUUGGGGCAUGUGUAGAGUUCCAGUUGAACUGAGCUUCUGAGCAUCAUCUUUCCCAGCCCUACCUGGAGAUGGCAGGGCUUUUAACCUGGGGCUUUCUGCAUGUAAAACAUGCUAGUAUUGGAGCAGAGGCUAUUAUUAAAUAAAGCACUUGCUCUACAAACCAUUGGCCCACGGCUAGAAUGAAAUCUUUUAAUUGUGUGAUGAUUAAUUGUACGGAUAUGCCAAAUAAUGUAGAAUGUCACCCGCAUAUACUGCAUCCUUUAUUCUCAAAUGAGAAGUGUCCUUCAUGCUUUGCAGUUGGCUGAAUGCCAGCUGCAGCAGAGAGGCUCCCUGAAAAACAGUGUUAUAAUAUAUAUAAAGGGCACCCUUGUCUUUGCUAGCAGACAAACCCUUAGUUAAUUAAUGGCUCUGCUUGUAUGGAUGCAUGGUUUCUGAGCUUCCUUUGGUUCUAACAAAGUCUUUGUUUACGAAAUGUGCUUAUUAAAACGAGUUAAUAUGUUAUUUUACUGCCUGCAGCCACAUAACGUUAAUUUUAUCUUUGUAGAACUAUCUCUGUAUAACUGCCCCCCAAUAAAAAAAACCCAGGACCAGGGCCAUGCUACAAGGCAAUAGGUUUUUAACCCAGGUGUGGGAUACGUGACCCUACAAAUCUACUCAACUCCAACUUCCAUCAGCCUCAUCAAGGUCAGGAAUUAUUCGAAUUGUGGUCCAAUAACACCCAGCCAUGGUGCCCCAACUCCUGCAUAACCAUUUAUCCCCACACCAUAACUGUUGUUUAUUCAUUCAGUCAUUCCAGGAUGGAUGUUUACAAUCAUGCUAUUUCAAAUGCUGUUUGCAACCACUAAGACUCAGGCAGAAGUGCAUAUUGUCGCAUGCCACCCCAAUCUCUGAGCGGUGUGAGAUUCCAGGGGCUUCCAGGUUGCUUUCCCAGAGUUUGGUUUCCUUGGAAUGAAGGAGACAGUGGAGACUGUGUUGUCUUGAUGAUAUAUGGUUUAUUUGCACAUCUAUACAACGUAAACCUAAGAUGGAGUGGCUCACAACAUUAACACCUUCUGGACCUCUCGUGGAGGAGGCACACGAAGAAGGAUCUCAGUGAGCUCAAGGUCCAGGUAGGUUCAUAUGGAAAGAAGUGGACCUUUGAGGUAUUGAGGUCCUGAGCCGUUUAAGCAUUUAAAAGUCAAAACCAGCACUUUGAAUUUGGCCCGGAAACUACCUGGAAGCCAGUGCAGUUGGGUCAGGAUCGGUGUAAUAUGUUCAAACUGUCUUGUCGUGGUUAUUAUAGUUCUGGGAGGGGAAUAGGGUCUCCUGACAACUCUCAGCACCAACAAAAUAUAACUCCCACAAUUCCUUGGAGGAAGCCCAUGCUGUUUAAAGUGGCAUGAUACUUCUUUAAAAGAUGAAUUGGAUGCAUUUGUAUAUUUCACAUACUGUCUUCACUUUGUUCCUCAGGAACACAGUGUGUGUUUAUGUUCUUUUGAGAGAGUCCUUUUAAGGAUCUUUUUAAUAGUAUUGGACAAAGUGUUCAUGUUGAAUGUACAUCAUUAAUCUAAUCUUUCUGACAGAUCAGGUCCUAACACUUUGGAGAAAACCAGCCCGCCACGCCAUAUAUUAAAAGCACUCCUGUGUCACUUAACAGUCAUGGCUUUCACCAAAGAAUUAUGGGAACUAUGGUUUGGUAAGGGUGCUGAAAGUUAUUAGGAGACCGCCCCCCUCACAGAGCUACAGUUCCCAGCACAGUUAAUAAACUACAGUCCCCAUAAUUCUUUAGGAGAAUCAGGACUGUUAAAGUGCUUUAAAUUUAUUAUAUGGAUAUGAUUGAGUCACUAAUAUCCUUUUAGUUGCACAUAGGCAGGAUUAUUUUCUUCCAUCUUAAGCACUAGAUAAAAUAUUACAGCUCAGUGGUACUUCAAUAGCUAGAAGAUCGUUAAAGAUGAUCCUUUUAGAUUCCAAUCUUAUAACACUUACCUGGGAGUAAGUCCCACUAGACUCAAUGGGAAUGACGUUGUUAUAAAUUCUGCUCGUAUUGAUCCAUGACAGAACUCCAAUGUAUAGUUAGCAGAGUAAAAACUUGAAACAUGUUGCAAGACUCCCCCCAAAAUAGACCAGAGGCAACUAUAUUUCAUAUACCAGAAUUUACUAUUGCUGCUGAAGGUAAAUGAGCAUAAUGGUCACAGAUCCAAUACAUUCAGGAUUGGCACUGUCCAUAAGAAAUCAAUUUGCAGCAGAAUUAACCUAAACUUAUAAUAACUUAACAUUAAGACUAAAACCUUAACACUAAGUGUACUAUGUACAGAACACCACACUGUUAUUAUAGUCAGCAUGACCUUGAGUGAAAGAGAUAACAGAAGCAGUCCAAACCAGCUGUUCAGCUUCUCCGAAGGAAUAACCCAAACAUCAGGAACCUUCUGCCUGUUUUUCAGGCAAAAUAGAGAAUUCCUUGUCAGUUAGUGUGGCGUUUGCCCAUUCUUUGGGGAUAUGUUUGUAUUGGGGGAGAGAAGGGGUUACUAGGUUGACCAAUAAGAAAGCCUGAAGGCGGAGCCUACCUGAUUUUGAGGCUCAGCCCAGAAGUUUUGACAGUUAGUUUGGUUGGUUCUUUUGGGGGGGAGAGGUAGAGGAGUCAGGGUGAGUUAGAGACAGGGACAAGACUGAGAGGGAAUAGAGUGACAGCGUUUCGAAUAUAUUUUAAAACUUGUUUUUGUUUGAAAUAAACUUUAAUCUUCAUUGUUAACUCUACAUGACUGAGACUCAAUACUUCACCGGGGAACCCUGGGGUUUUUCCACAAAAUUGGUGGCAGCAGAAGAAUAAAGUAGUGGUGUACAGGUCAAUAGUCCGUGAAACAACUGGGGGCUCUGUACAAACUCCACAGUUAGAAACCUCCGUCUUGCACUAGCUUGCAUCGCACAGAGAAGCUUCCAGAACCCUCUUGAAUCAAUUAGAAUAGGAAAGAGCUCUACACAUCAGAUCAAUACUUUCUUCACCAAAAAAAUGCAAACUGACAGACACUUCAAAAAUCAGGAAUAACUUCUUCACAGUCAUGCAGCAUUUGAAUUCUUCAUUCACAUAAAAUAAUAAAUUAUAUCCCUUAUACAUAUAUGCAAUAAUCAACAACAAAGAGAGAUGGGCAAAAGGUACACAUUAAUAUGAUGUUUCUCCACUAAACUGACAUUCCGCACAGGACAGAAUUGGAAACAACCGAAGAACAAUACAGUGGUCCCUUGGGUUAAGUACUUAAUUCGUUCCGGAGGUCUGUACUUAACCUGAAACUGUUCUUAACCUGAAGCACCACUUUAGCUAAUGGGGCCUCCUGCUGCACCGCCGGAGCCCGAUUUCUGUUCUUAUCCUGAAGCAAAGUUCUUAACCUGAAGCACUAUUUCUGGGUUAGCGGAGUCUGUAACCUGAAGCGUAUGUAACCCGAGGUACCACUGUAAUACCUAGUACUGUAUGUGUGUCAAGACUCAGUUGCUGAGGUCUUCUCAUGGGACGAUGUUAGCACUUGCUCCUGAGCUUCAGCUGACCUUUACCAGGGUCUGAGCCCUUAAUGUUGCUGGCCCUGCCCUCCUUGCAAACAGUAGUUCAGUAGGAGUCAUCCCUGCUUCUUUCCAGAUGCCUUCUAAAAAACUAAUUCAGACAAGCCUUUCAUAUCUGGAAUUCUCUGCUAAACAGCUCCUAUUGGUGUGAUUUUUUAAAAUUGUUUUCAUUGUAAUAGUGUGUUUUGAGUCUGUAUGCCACCUCAUUAUAUUCUAGAUGAAAGUGCAGUUUAUAAGUAAGUAAGUAAGUAAGUAAAGGGAUGCACAAUCUGCGUAGUAUUAUUUAGCUUUAUAACAGGCUUAUGAUAUAGAACCAUCAUAACACAGUGACCUGAAUGGUGCCUGCUAUGGGAGCUUAUCACUAAAAUCUCUCUGCUGACUAAGCUACAGCAUGCUCUCUUCAUUAUGUAAACCACUCUGGAACAAAUUUUAAUGAAUGGUGAAAUAUAAAUAUUUC